ACAACAUUUGAGCUAGCCUACCUCAGCUGUGACCUAUGAACAGCCUACCCAACCUAUCCAGCCCUGCUCAGAAGGAGCUGUACAGAGGGGCUGAGAAGAUGCUCUGAUACAAUGUACAAGUUUAUCAGGGAAGUUAUGAACAAUUGGAGUCAUUUGGAAACUCAGUAUUUAAGGCUGGAAAAUUUUGUUCACCCAUUGCUGCAAGCUGAAGUGACCUGUGGUUCAUUAUAUUGAUCCAAUCCCUCUACAUUGAGACUCGGCGUGGAGUCAAGCUUUUGAUCGAGCAAGAUAGUGCCUUUAUUUAUUAAAAGAUGGGAGAACAAGAGAGGAAGAAGAAAAGAGAAGAAAAGGAGAGGAAAAAAAAGAAGAGAAAAGGAAAGCAAGUCACAACUGUGGAUCCCAUGAUGUCCUGAAGCAUCAGAUGGACUUGUGUCUGUCUAAGCUUAGGAAAGAACCAGGACAAACUAAGCUGAGCAUUGCUGAAACAGAUAACUUAUUCAACGUGAACAGAGAGGAGAAUGAGGAAGAUGAGCUUGGAUUCACAUUUUAGCUAGCUGCAUUAAUUGUAUGAAGGAAGAAUACAAAUGAAUACAGCUGAUGAAGGAGGAUGGUGAGGA
RNAcentral lists this long non-coding RNA (617 nucleotides) under Phasianus colchicus (ring-necked pheasant). RNAcentral describes it as "lncRNA (ENSPCLG00000012914.1)". The record is from RNAcentral. Lineage: Eukaryota; Metazoa; Chordata; Aves; Galliformes; Phasianidae.